Molecule: long non-coding RNA, 2392 nt
Organism: Aethalodelphis obliquidens (Pacific white-sided dolphin)
Lineage: Eukaryota; Metazoa; Chordata; Mammalia; Artiodactyla; Delphinidae
Exons: 3
Source: RefSeq, a predicted model, not a curated record
AAUACCCAUACUGCCGAGGCGGGCGGAGCCGGCUGUGGCUCCGAGAACAGCGCACGUGAGGAGGGCGCGAGAGUCCCCGAAAAAAGCGGGGCUGUCAAAAGAAGCCUGUGUUGAUUGGCUGCCCGAGUAUCCUCCCUCCCCGCCGCGGGCCCCACCCCGCAGAGGCGCAGCUAAGCAGAGGCGGCUUGGGGUGUAUACACACGCCGCGGGCCCACCUCCCCGCCCACCCCCCCACCCCCGCCGGCGCCUCAGGAAAGGUGGUGGAUGAGGGACUCGCCUGCGGCUCCCCCGGCCUGAAGCAACUCCAUCCGCUCCUGCAGCUGCCGGACGUGCGCCUCCAGGUCUCGGUUACGGGCCUCGGCCUCGCGGAGUUGGCUACAGGGGAGGUAAGGAUCAUGAGCCCUUCGGGACUUCGGCUAGAGAGGCUGCUAAAGGUAGUGACUGUCCCCGACUCCCGACCCUGACCUGGCGAAGUUCUGGUUGGCCGUUCGGAUGGCCUCCAGCUCCUGGCUCAGGCUCUGUCGGGUGAGCACCUCCUCCUCCAGGGCCUCCUGGAGUUCCCGCAGCGUCACCUGGGCCUCUGCCACCGCCUCCGGAAUGGCCUCCGGAACUGCCGCUUCAGCCUGGGUAUGGGAACCGGGCUUAGGGCUGCCUGUGGCUCCUGGAGCAUUCGAGACUUAGGCAUAGGUUCCAGGCCUGGGAUCCUCCUUUGACCUCUAUUCCUGCACCCCCGAGAUCUUUCUGGAAUCCCCACAGCUCCUGCAGUGAUCCAAGCCCCCUCCUUCCCUAACCCAGCCCAGCCCUCAUCUCCAGCCUUUAAUCUGGUCUCCUCCCAUCCACCUUCCACACCAAAGGGCUGUUCCUGUAACACUACGCAGCUUGACCAUGUCCCUCCCCUGGAGAAUCUCUCCGGCCCCUCAGUGCCCUCAGGAGGAGGCCCACCACAUGAAAACUAAAGGCCCUGUCUGGUGUGCGUCUGCUGGCCCUCCAGCCUCCCCGCUCCUCACUCCUCACCCUCCUUCCUCCUGGAACAGCGCAGCCUUACUACCCUCCUUGCAUGUUUCAGAGCACACCAGCUGGUUCUCCCCUCAGAGCCCUUACCCUUCUCUUUGCUGACCAAUGGGUGGUCCUCCUGCUUCUCCAGGGCUUCCCCUCCCCAGAGUUCCCCUCCAUGCACACUCACUGACCUGUUUUCAUUUCUCUGUGGGGAUCAUUUCUGACUGAAGUAACCUUGUCUCUACUUUGUUUUCCAUCUCUUUCUGUCAAGGAACCUCCCAGAGGGCCUAGCACUCCAUGGCGCACACUAUCCCUGAAGGCCUCCGCUUUUCUCUCGAUUCGUCCCUCACUGACCCCCUCCUCUAAAGACUCACCGCUUCCUCUGGUGGGGCCACCGUGGGUUCCAGGCUGGGCUCUUGCAAUGGCUCAGGCAGCGCCUCGGCCUCCAGUUCCAUGGGCGUGGAGCCCGGGAUCUCAUCAUCCCUGGGGAGAGGAAGAGGGCGAGGGGAGGAAGAGCCGGCCUCACGCCCGAUCCUCUGCGUUUACAGCCAGGACUCCCUAGCCUGUGCCCUGGGGCAGCCAGACCUGAAGGCUCCAGGCUUGAGGAGGGGGAGGGGCAGAGUGAAGGGAAUAAAUGGCCAGGCUGGUGAGACAGGUCCUCCUCUUGUUAGGAAAAGUCCUGCGCCUGGCAUGGCCUCAGGCCCCUGGAAGCUGGCCUCUGCACCUUCCUUGGGAACCUGGGGUCAGGAAACCCGUGUUCUAGGAUCUGCCCAUCUCCGUCUCCAUGUGCGCUUUACAGGCUCUUCUCCUAAGGGCCUCAGAAAGUGAGGGAGACACUCCCAGCUCUGGCCACCUCCAAAGGGGUGGUCUUCAGACUGAGGGUUGGACCCCAAGCCUGACUCUAGACAGCAGCCACCCCUCCCACCCCCAGACCCAGGUGCUGGGAGGAAGACAGACCCUCCCAAGGAAUAUGAAAUUGCAGUAAAAGUGAUGUUCCCUCCAACCCAGCAGUCCCUCUUGUAGAAAUAUGUCUCAAGGACCCAAUGAUGCUCGACAAGCGCCAAGACCAACCUGUGGCUGUUCAUCCAGCCUGGGUCAUGGCAGAGGCGGGUUAGCUGAGUCCUGACCCGCCCAGUAAGGAGAACACUCCCCAGCGGGUCAGGAUUGUGUUAUAGUUUGUUCAAGGAAUGGCACUUGCGGUACACUGUCCAAUAACAAAACAGAUCAGAAUACAGCAUGUUCUCGCAGCUGGUAAGUACGUGUGCUGUGAGCCAGGGACACACAAGGCCGCUGCUGGCGGCCUUCCUUUUUCUCAUCCCUAUUUUCUAAUAUACUUGUGAUAAGCAAUGUAUUAUUUUCAGAAUCAAUGUUUUAAGAAGGCUUUGUGGUUAUGUAA